RNAcentral lists this small RNA (423 nucleotides) under Histoplasma capsulatum var. duboisii H88. RNAcentral's name for it is "Histoplasma capsulatum H88 hypothetical RNA". The record is from RNAcentral. Lineage: Eukaryota; Fungi; Ascomycota; Eurotiomycetes; Onygenales; Ajellomycetaceae.
UGCCCCGGUGGCUGAAUGGGUAAUGCGGCCACCUGGUAGCGCCUUGGCGUGGGGACCCAAGGCGCGUGGGUUCGAAACCCGCAGGGGACAACAUUACAUCCGGAGCCAACUUCUCAGCUCCUAAAAUAAUGGGAUGUGAACCUGCCAAGUAGGUACCUUCGGGCGGACCUACUACUUGAUUUAGCUGAUUUUUCCUAGGCUGGGAACCUGUAUUGCAUGUACCAAAUCCUGUCUUUCAUUAAUUUUCCUAUGUUCCUGUUAUAUUCUUGGCGUCGUUCAACACUAAGCAUUCCUCCUGUAUAACCAACUCUUGCCUGUAUUUAACAUCACACAAGGACUCGUCAUAAGCACUGCUUGCAUACGAGUAUAACGGAAGAAUAAUAAUAAUAAUACAUGAGAUGGUUGUAUAAGUUGACUACUAAC